UUGAACGCUGGCGGCAUGCUUUACCCCUGCCAGUCGCACGGCAGCGCGGGGCACCCUGGCGGCGAGUGGCGAACGGGUGAGUAAUAUAUCGGAACGUACCCAGAAGUGGGGGAUAACGUAGCGAAAGUUACGCUAAUACCGCAUACGAUCUACGGAUGAAAGUAGGGGACCGCAAGGCCUUAUGCUUUUGGAGCGGCCGAUAUCUGAUUAGCUAGUUGGUGAGGUAAAGGCUCACCAAGGCGACGAUCAGUAGCUGGUCUGAGAGGACGACCAGCCACACUGGAACUGAGACACGGUCCAGACUCCUACGGGAGGCAGCAGUGGGGAAUUUUGGACAAUGGGCGCAAGCCUGAUCCAGCAAUGCCGCGUGAGUGAAGAAGGCCUUCGGGUUGUAAAGCUCUUUUGUCAGGGAAGAAACGGUAGAGGCUAAUAUCCUGUGCUAAUGACGGUACCUGAAGAAUAAGCACCGGCUAACUACGUG
RNAcentral lists this ribosomal RNA (481 nucleotides) under uncultured bacterium. RNAcentral describes it as "partial 16S ribosomal RNA". It matches the Rfam family "Bacterial small subunit ribosomal RNA", at positions 30 to 507 of the family's 1533-position model. The record is from RNAcentral.